UGCGUAGGUGGGCAGGUAAGUCAGUGGUGAAAUCUCUGGGCUUAACCCAGAAACUGCCGUUGAUACUAUCUGCCUUGAAUGUAGUGGAGGUGAGCGGAAUAUGUCAUGUAGCGGUGAAAUGCUUAGAUAUGACAUAGAACACCUAUUGCGAAGGCAGCUCGCUACACUAUUAUUGACGCUGAGGCACGAAAGCGUGGGGAUCAAACAGGAUUAGAUACCCUGGUAGUCCACGCCCUAAACGAUGGAUACUCGACAUCAGCGAUACACUGUUGGUGUCUGAGCGAAAGCAUUAAGUAUCCCACCUGGGAAGUACGACCGCAAGGUUGAA
This 328-nucleotide ribosomal RNA is filed under the name uncultured bacterium. Its description in RNAcentral is "bacterial SSU rRNA". It matches the Rfam family "Bacterial small subunit ribosomal RNA", at positions 568 to 898 of the family's 1533-position model. The record is from RNAcentral.